GUCUAAGGUCAUGUCACCCAGAAUGUGCCUGAUCUCAGCUGAUUUAUGAAGCCAAGCAGGGUUGGGUCUGGUUAGUACUUUCCUGGUGACCUUUAAAACAUACUCCGCAGAUGUCCAAGCACCACUUUAGAGG
RNAcentral lists this ribosomal RNA (133 nucleotides) under Meriones unguiculatus (Mongolian gerbil). Lineage: Eukaryota; Metazoa; Chordata; Mammalia; Rodentia; Muridae. The record is from RNAcentral.